RNAcentral lists this ribosomal RNA (465 nucleotides) under uncultured bacterium. RNAcentral's name for it is "partial 16S ribosomal RNA". It matches the Rfam family "Bacterial small subunit ribosomal RNA", at positions 338 to 795 of the family's 1533-position model. The record is from RNAcentral.
CCUACGCGAGACAGCAGUGGGGAAUAUUGCGCAAUGGGCGAAAGCCUGACGCAGCGCCGCCGCGUGCGGGAUGAAGGUCUUCGGAUCGUAAACCUCUGUCAGCAGGGAAGAACGGUCACUGUGCUAAUCAGCAGUGAAUUGACGGUACCUGCACAGGAAGCACCGGCUAACUCCGUGCCAGCCGCCGCGGUAAUACGGAGGGUGCGAGCUUUAAUCGGAAUUACUGGGCGUAAAGCGCUCGUAGGCGGUAUGUCAAGUCAAGGGUGAAAUCCCCGCGCUCAACGUGGGAACUGCCUUUGAAACUGGAAAACUGGAGUGUGUGAGAGGAUAGUGGAAUUCCAGGUGUAGGAGUGAAAUCCGUAGAUAUCUGGAGGAACAUCAGUGGCGAAGGCGACUAUCUGGCACAUAACUGACGCUGAGGAGCGAAAGCGUGGGUAGCAAACAGGAUUAGAUACCCUAGUAGUC